Molecule: small nuclear RNA, 107 nt
Organism: Octodon degus (degu)
Lineage: Eukaryota; Metazoa; Chordata; Mammalia; Rodentia; Octodontidae
Source: Ensembl
GUGCUCACUUCAACAGCACAUAUAUUAAAAUUGGGACGAUACAGAGAAGAUUAGAAUGGCCCCUGCGCAAGGAUGACAUGCAAAUUCGUGAAGCGUUCCAUAUUUUC